Molecule: ribosomal RNA, 460 nt
Filed under: uncultured bacterium
Lineage: Bacteria
Description: partial 16S ribosomal RNA
Rfam family: Bacterial small subunit ribosomal RNA
Source: RNAcentral
CCUACGGGGGGCAGCAGUCGAGAAUCAUUCACAAUGGGGGAAACCCUGAUGGUGCGACGCCGCGUGGGGGAAUGAAGGUCUUCGGAUUGUAAACUGCUUUUUUACGGGGGUAAUUACAGAUACGUGUAUCUGGAUGAAAGUACCGUAUGAAUAAGGAUCGGCUAACUCCGUGCCAGCAGCCGCGGUAAUACGGAGGAUCCGAGCGUUAUCCGGAUUUAUUGGGUUUAAAGGGUGCGUAGGCGGUCAGGUAAGUUAGAGGUGAAAGCUCGAUGCUCAACAUCGAAACUGCCUCUGAUACUGUCUGACUAGAGUGUAGUUGCGGAAGGCGGAAUGUGUGGUGUAGCGGUGAAAUGCUUAGAUAUCACACAGAACACCGAUUGCGAAGGCAGCUUUCCAAGCUAUUACUGACGCUGAGGCACGAAAGCGUGGGGAGCGAACAGGAUUAGAUACCCGUGUAGUC